GACGAACGCUGGCGGCGUGCUUAACACAUGCAAGUCGAGCGGAAAGGCCCUUCGUGGUACUCGAGCGGCGAACGGGUGAGUAACACGUGAGUAACCUGCCCCAGACUUUGGGAUAACCCUCGGAAACGGGGGCUAAUACCGGAUACGACACAGCUUCGCAUGGGGUCUGUGUGGAAAGUUUUUCGGUUUGGGAUGGGCUCGCGGCCUAUCAGCUUGUUGGUGGGGUGAUGGCCUACCAAGGCGACGACGGGUAGCCGGCCUGAGAGGGCGACCGGCCACACUGGGACUGAGACACGGCCCAGACUCCUACGGGAGGCAGCAGUGGGGAAUAUUGCACAAUGGGCGGAAGCCUGAUGCAGCGACGCCGCGUGAGGGAUGACGGCCUUCGGGUUGUAAACCUCUUUCAGCAGGGACGAAGCGUAAGUGACGGUACCUGCAGAAGAAGCGCCGGCCAACUACGUG
This 462-nucleotide ribosomal RNA is filed under the name uncultured bacterium. Its description in RNAcentral is "partial 16S ribosomal RNA". It matches the Rfam family "Bacterial small subunit ribosomal RNA", at positions 28 to 507 of the family's 1533-position model. The record is from RNAcentral.